UGAUGCAGUGUUUUACUUAUUUGCCUCAAGCUGUUAGUAACUUAUUUUGAGUUUUUCAUUUUGAAUUUUCUGAAAUAUGUUAUUCUAGGGUUUAGUGCACAUCUUAAAUUCAGCUGUGAUGUUGCUGUAAUUAUGUUUUUGGAAUCAGUAUUUUAAUGCUCUGCAGUUUUAUAUUGUUGUAACUUACCUGAUAAAUUGUUUUUCACUUAAGGUGUCUCCCCUUUGUGUGCAGAAAUCACACAUUUUAAUAACCUGGCAUGUUUCUUGUGUUGGGUGUAUGUAGCCUAGUUACUGAACACAGUAGUAUGUGCUGGGAACACCGUUUAUUCUCCCGUAGGCCGUGGGGCUCUGAAGGGGAAGACAGGACGUGGGGGGCGGCAGAAGAAUCGUGGCAUCGGCAACCAUGGGGGCGGACAGAGCAACCUGCCGAACAGCCAGGCCAGCCAAGACGUGGUGUCCCAGCCCUUCUCUCAGGGGCCGCUCACCCAGGGCUACGUCUCCAUGAGCCAGCCGUCGCAGAUGAGCCAGCCGGGCCUGUCUCAGCCUGAGCUGUCACAAGACAGUUACCUCGGUGAUGAAUUCAAGUCCCAGAUUGACGUGGCUUUGUCCCAAGACUCCACUUACCAGGGCGAGCGUGCAUAUCAACAUGGCGGGGUGACUGGAUUGUCACAGUACUAGAAUGUUGUGGGAUAAGGAGCUAGGCUUGAGCUGAGCUUAGUUCGUCAGAAUUUUAAUCUGGGUAAUAAUAAAAAAACAAAAAACGGAUACCUGUUUUCCACUGCUACAACUGAAGCACCACUGUGUGAAAGCAACAGGAGAGGGAAACCAACCAAUCACAAGAGGAAUAGGAAAAGGGGCAGACAGACAGGACGAGGAGGAAGAGAGAGAGAGAGAGCGAGCACUGCCAGUACACUGAGACGGGCGCCAGGAGGGAGGAGGACGCAAGCGGUGUGUGGUCGUGCUGUCGGGGAACACGAAUCAAAAAUGAGGCAGCUCCCUACGAAAGAAGCCCAUUCCCUCCAAAACCCUUCCACCACUUCCUGCUCAAGGAAUGACCUGUUGACUGAGGACCUUGAUCUUCAAGCAGAAAGGGGGAAAAGACAAGUUCUCAAGCAACUCGCGAGCUCAUUCCGUUUUCUCCAGAAACGGAGAAAAGAGUGGCGAACCGCUUCACGCAGGCAAUGUGGAAAAUCUUUACCUCAAAGUUGAUCUCAGUUUUUAACCUUUGAACCCAUUUGAUUUAAAUUUUUGUGGAAUAAGAGUGGUGGUGAUACAGCAGCUCUUAGGCCCAAAUCGCAUCAAAUGAUGAAGGCGGUUACUCGAGAGUAUGAAUUGAUCUUAAUCCAACUUUGAGUUCUUGCGUUAAGCUUGAAUUGAAGAAAUUCCGAGUCCACUUGCCUUUGACUACCUUAGAGUUCAGUGGCAGGUACACCGGGUCCUACCUGAAGUGGUAUAGUAAAGGUCUAUGGUGGUGUGGUCAUGGGAUUUUAAGGCAAAGUUUAUGGAUCUGAGCUAAGGAUCUGCAACGUAAGAUGAGUCUUCUGAAGCAGCUUUCUUCUUGUAGAACCCGGGCAGAAUAAUGAAAAGGCCAGCGUUUCUGGGUGUGAACUUGGUGCAAUUUCCAAGUUGCAGCAAUAGUGUAUUGAUCUUUAAUGAAGGAGGGAGGAGUAGGGAAAUGAGGUCUGGAGCUACAGAGGGUUUUCAGUGUUUUAAAUGCAGCCUAUGCUUAGAUUGGCUACUGUUCCAAAGAGGGGGUUUUACUUGGAGGAAAACUGCAUCGCCUUUGGCUGGUUGAGUUCGCUGCUAAAAGCAACUCCCUGGACAAUGAGUCACACUUCAAGUCACCGUAACUGGGAAUGCAUCGUCUGGAAAUAUCUCAAAUGUGUAAAAAAAAAAAAAAA
Molecule: non-coding RNA, 1901 nt
Organism: Paramormyrops kingsleyae
Lineage: Eukaryota; Metazoa; Chordata; Actinopteri; Osteoglossiformes; Mormyridae
Source: RefSeq, a predicted model, not a curated record